GAGAAGAUCUCCAAUGUUGGUAGUUGGUAUUGAGCUGUAAACUCAACGAUUUAUUUCUUCGUGUGUUCAAUUCACACUCUUCUCA
Non-coding RNA from Pachysolen tannophilus NRRL Y-2460, 85 nucleotides. The record is from Rfam. NCBI's taxonomy places the organism in Eukaryota, Fungi, Ascomycota, Pichiomycetes, Alaninales, Pachysolenaceae.